ACACAACAGGAGAUCUAUAGACUAGAGAGGGAGCACACAUAAAAGAGCAACCUUUUCGUCCAUCCUCAUCUACAAAAUAUAACAACCAUUCUCUAUUCCUUUGGACCUUCUAGAGUGAAGCAGCUAUUAUCUUUGAACCUGGAGGAGACAAGCGACAACUUCACCAAACAACCAAUUUGAAUUUCACCACAACACUGUCGUCGUUUACCCACCAGUGACGUCUGCUCUCUAAACCCGUCGGAAAAUCGUCACACCAAACGUCUACCACCUCACACUCGCCGGAAAAGUCGAACCUAAUACUGCCUGAAAUAAAUCCAUCGACCAACAUCCAAAAAUACACAACCUCUUGUCUUUAAGUUCCAUUUCUUGCAAAGUUUUGGUGGAAUUCGAAGAGAUGCCGUCGCGGUUGAGUUCGAGAUUCCGAUUCGUGUUCGGGUUCCCUUUUCCAUCGAGGUUUUUAGGUCUAGGUUUGCAUUUGUAUGUCGCUACUGUAACGGGAAAGGCUAUCAAUCUUUGAGGUUAAUUUCUUAAUCUUAUUUUAAAUUUCCUCUUCGUUUCAUCGUUAUUAGGCUUCGAC
This 577-nucleotide long non-coding RNA is filed under the name Nicotiana benthamiana. RNAcentral's name for it is "long non-coding RNA (NBEN_LNC032576)". Lineage: Eukaryota; Viridiplantae; Streptophyta; Magnoliopsida; Solanales; Solanaceae. The record is from RNAcentral.